CGGACCUUUGGUUUUGAGAUUCAAAACCGGUCCAACGGGAUACACCGUGGGAAGAUUAUUAUCUCCGCCGGAGAAAAACUUCAUAGCAUGAGGCUCCAGCUCAGCAAAGGUAUUUACCAAAAUACCCUUGGUUUCUCUGAAUCUUCUCACUUGGCCAAACACAAUCGGUAACCAGUACUUGUUUAACAUCACAGAUGGGAAACACUUAACCGGUAAAGGACGAGACAAACACGGAACCUCCAACUCGGUUAUGUCCGAAUCCUUCAAGUCGCUGACGUCAUAUUUCUC
This 288-nucleotide long non-coding RNA is filed under the name Brassica napus (rape). Its description in RNAcentral is "long non-coding RNA (BNAP_LNC024482)". The record is from RNAcentral. Lineage: Eukaryota; Viridiplantae; Streptophyta; Magnoliopsida; Brassicales; Brassicaceae.